RNAcentral lists this ribosomal RNA (336 nucleotides) under uncultured bacterium. RNAcentral describes it as "bacterial SSU rRNA". It matches the Rfam family "Bacterial small subunit ribosomal RNA", at positions 28 to 334 of the family's 1533-position model. The record is from RNAcentral.
GACGAACGCUGGCGGCGUGCCUAACACAUGCAAGUCGAGCGGGGACAGUACGACGGAUCGGAAGUUUUCGGAUGGACGUGAAGAUGUAUGUUCUAGCGGCGGACGGGUGAGUAACGCGUGAGCAACCUGUCCUUCACAGGGGGAUAACACAGCGAAAGUUGUACUAAUACCGCAUAAGACCACAUCGGGGCAUCCCGGAGGGGUCAAAGGAGCAAUCCGGUGAAGGGUGGGCUCGCGUCCGAUUAGAUAGUUGGUGGGGUAACGGCCUACCAAGUCGACGAUCGGUAGCCGACCUGAGAGGGUGAUCGGCCACAUUGGGACUGAGACACGGCCCAA